AUCACCUGGGGAUCUUGUUAAAUUGCAGAUUCUGAUUCAGUAGGUCUGGGGUAAGGCCUAAGAGUCUGCAUUUCUAACUAGCUUCUAGGUGAUGUCCC
This 98-nucleotide microRNA precursor is filed under the name Canis lupus familiaris (dog). RNAcentral describes it as "mir-544 microRNA precursor family". It matches the Rfam family "mir-544 microRNA precursor family". RNAcentral also lists the same sequence under 1 other name. The record is from Rfam by way of RNAcentral. Lineage: Eukaryota; Metazoa; Chordata; Mammalia; Carnivora; Canidae.